GACGAAGGAUCCAAGCGUUAUCCGGAUUCAUUGGGUUUAAAGGGUGCGUAGGCGGCCCGGUAAGUCAGUGGUGAAAGCCUGUUGCUUAACAACAGAACUGCCAUUGAUACUGCCAGGCUUGAGUACAGAUGCUGUGGGCGGAAUAUGACAUGUAGUGGUGAAAUACAUAGAGAUGUCAUAGAACACCGAUUGCGAAGGCAGCUCACAAAACUGUAACUGACGCUGAGGCACGAAAGUGCGGGGAUCAAACAGG
This 253-nucleotide ribosomal RNA is filed under the name uncultured bacterium. RNAcentral describes it as "partial 16S ribosomal RNA". It matches the Rfam family "Bacterial small subunit ribosomal RNA", at positions 524 to 776 of the family's 1533-position model. The record is from RNAcentral.